This 271-nucleotide ribosomal RNA is filed under the name uncultured bacterium. RNAcentral's name for it is "partial 16S ribosomal RNA". It matches the Rfam family "Bacterial small subunit ribosomal RNA", at positions 524 to 791 of the family's 1533-position model. The record is from RNAcentral.
UACGUAGGGUGCAAGCGUUGUCCGGAAUUAUUGGGCGUAAAGAGCUCGUAGGCGGUCUGUCGCGUCUGGUGUGAAAACUCAAGGCUUAACCUUGGGCCUGCAUCGGGUACGGGCAGACUAGAGUGCGGUAGGGGAGACUGGAAUUCCAGGUGUAGCGGUGAAAUGCGUAGAUAUCUGGAGGAACACCGGUGGCGAAGGCGGCAUCCUGGACCGGCAUUGACGCUGAGGAGCGAAAGCCAGGGGAGCAAAGCGGGGAUUAAGAAACCCGUGG